RNAcentral lists this ribosomal RNA (320 nucleotides) under uncultured eukaryote. Its description in RNAcentral is "partial 18S ribosomal RNA". It matches the Rfam family "Eukaryotic small subunit ribosomal RNA", at positions 1470 to 1796 of the family's 1831-position model. The record is from RNAcentral.
CCCCUAGAUGUUCUGGGCCGCACGCGCGCUACACUGAACAGUUCAACAAGUCUUAACCUUGGCCGAUAGGUCUGGGUAAUCUUUGAACGCUGUUCGUGAUUGGGAUAGACCUUUGCAAUUAUGGGUCUUCAACGAGGAAUUCCUAGUAAACGCAAGUCAUCAGCUUGCAUUGAUUACGUCCCUGCCCUUUGUACACACCGCCCGUCGCACCUACCGAUUGAAUGGUCCGGUGAAAUCUCGGGACGGCGGCUUGGUCGCUUGCGUCCGACUGCUGAAACUUGAUUAAACCAUAUCAUUUAGAGGAAGGUGAGGUCGUAACA